This 881-nucleotide long non-coding RNA is filed under the name Capsicum annuum. Its description in RNAcentral is "long non-coding RNA (CANN_LNC014655)". The record is from RNAcentral. Lineage: Eukaryota; Viridiplantae; Streptophyta; Magnoliopsida; Solanales; Solanaceae.
GUAAAUAAGGGGACGUUUGGUGUGAGGUACUAGAGUAAAUAAUCUUGGAAUAAAAUAAUAGUCCCGGAAUAAAAAAUUUAAUCCAUUGUUUGGUUGCUAAUAUUCGGGAUAACUUAUUCCGGGAUUAAUAAAUUGUACCGGAGUAUGGUGGGAUACAAUCCCAUCAUAAUUUAUCCUUGGGAUAAAACUAUAAAAUGACAAGAUUACUCCAAACCCAUUACAAACACAUUUCUCCAAUCUUCUUCAUCUCCUCUUAGUUCUUCAAUCUCUAAUUAUUACUUUUGAAAUUGAAAAAAUAUUAUUGAUAUCUAUUUGAUUAUCUAAAACGCGCUAUUUAUGAUAAAUUAAAAAGACUAAAUAUCUUAUUUUGGAACGACGAAAAUAGAUGACUGAGAAAAAUUAACCUCUUAUUAAUUGAAUUUUGCAUUUUUUUUCAUCCCAUUGCUUGUGAAUUUCAUAAACGUAUACGUUGUUCUCUUAUAUAAAGGAUCAAAGUGCAAAGUUAACAAAUUAAAAAUCAAAAUAUGUUAGAUUCAUACAUAAUAAGGAUCAAAACUAGGUACUAUAAUUUUUUAUAUAUCCGACAAAAUGUAGGUACUAUAAUUUUUUAAGCAUAGAAAAACGGAAUUCAACAUCAACUUUUUCCUUCCAAGUGUUAUUUUUGUAAAUUGAUAACACGAAAAGUUCUUACUACACAAUGAAAAGAUUAAUUAAAGUAAGUAGAUUUUAUAAUAAUAAUUACCAUUCAUUGAUAAUCUGUAAAAUAUUUUAGCAACUAUAAAGGUGUUGCCUAGUUUUAAUACACAUUAUUAUUUCACAAUCGACUUCAUUGUUCAAUUACAUAUUUUAAAUUAAAUAAUUUUUUAAUCACUUAAAAAUUG